CCUGGUCUCACAGGGGGUCUCUUGGGAAUGUUCCGGCAGCCUCCCUUUGAUGACAGCAUCCUUGGUGCAGACUCUGCUUUUCCUCCAGCUGCACAUUCUCCAUGCUUCCUGUAGCCCCUGAGCACACUUUGGUCCUCACCACAUUGACUCUUGUUCGGGCACCAUGAUCCCUAUAAGUGUUUACCAUGGGCACAAUCUCUUUAUAGAGAGCCCCAGGCCACCAUCUGUAUUCUAGGUUCCCACCAGCAUUUUGGUCCUGUUAUCAUGGGAGUUGAACUAUGUCCUAACACAGUCUCUCUCCUCUGCUAGCCCAAGGCAGUUAGCCCAGCCACAGCCUCUUGCCUUCUAUAUCUUUGAAGUUCUGAGGGCUGUGCCAGGUGGCUCCUUACCAGCCCCUUGGUUUGCUGGGAGAAGCAAGCUUCUCUCUUCUACCACAUUCUUCUCUCUCUCUUUCUCUCUCUCUGUCUUCCCUUCAGUCUCAACCUUUAAUAGGCUCAAGGUGGUUGAUGUGUUUAGAGUUGUAACAUGUGUUUUUAGAUAUCUCUUUUGCAUAUCCUGCAUGGAAGGCUUAG
This 572-nucleotide long non-coding RNA is filed under the name Marmota monax (woodchuck). Lineage: Eukaryota; Metazoa; Chordata; Mammalia; Rodentia; Sciuridae. The record is from RNAcentral.